This 271-nucleotide ribosomal RNA is filed under the name uncultured prokaryote. RNAcentral's name for it is "partial 16S ribosomal RNA". It matches the Rfam family "Bacterial small subunit ribosomal RNA", at positions 524 to 776 of the family's 1533-position model. The record is from RNAcentral.
UACGGAGGGUGCGAGCGUUGUCCGGAAUCAUUGGGCGUAAAGGGCGCGUAGGUGGCCCGGCAAGCGGGCGGUGAAAGUCGGGGGCUCAACCCCCGAUCGGCCGUGCGAACUGCGGGGCUGGAGCACUGUAGAGGCAGGCGGAAUUCCGGGUGUAGCGGUGGAAUGCGUAGAGAUCCGGAAGAACACCGGUGGCGAAGGCGGCCUGCUGGGCAGUCGUCCGCAAGGACGUUCAAGCUGACACUGAGGCGCGACAGCGUGGGGAGCAAACAGG